UCGGCUUAGAGUUUGAUCCUGGCUCAGGACGAACGCUGGCGGCGUGCCUAAUACAUGCAAGUCGAACGAAUUGGUGCUUGCAUCAUUGAGUGGCGAACUGGUGAGUAACACGUGGGAAACCUGCCCAGAAGUGGGGGAUAACACCUGGAAACAGAUGCUAAUACCGCAUAACAACUUACCGCAUGGUCGAGUUUGAAAGAUGUUCGUAUCACCUUUGGAUGGUCCCGCGGCGUAUUAGCUAGAUGGUGAGGUAACGGCUCACCAUGGCAAUGAUACGUAGCCGACCUGAGAGGGUAAUCGGCCACAUUGGGACUGAGACACGGCCCAAACUCCUACGGGAGGCAGCAGUAGGGAAUCUUCCACAAUGGACGAAAGUCUGAUGGAGCAACGCCGCGUGAGUGAAGAAGGGUUUCGGCUCGUAAAACUCUGUUGUUAAAGAAGAACAUAUCUGAGGUAACUCAGGUAUUGACGGUAUUUAACCAGAAAGCCACGGCUAACUACGUGCCAGCAGCCGCGGUAAUACGUAGUGGCAAGCGUUGUCCGGAUUUAUUGGGCGUAAAGCGAGCGCAGCGGUUUUUUAAGUCUGAUGUGAAAGCCUUCGGCUCAACCGAAGAAGUGCAUCGGAAACUGGGAAACUUGAGUGCAGAGAGGACAGU
This 656-nucleotide ribosomal RNA is filed under the name uncultured Lactobacillus sp. RNAcentral's name for it is "bacterial SSU rRNA". It matches the Rfam family "Bacterial small subunit ribosomal RNA", at positions 1 to 662 of the family's 1533-position model. The record is from RNAcentral. Lineage: Bacteria; Bacillati; Bacillota; Bacilli; Lactobacillales; Lactobacillaceae.